UCACUCCAGUGUCUCCACCUGAAGGAGGAUCUAUUUCCUGGACCACGGACCUCCGACCAGAAGCUUCAUCAGAGGAUUCUGGGUCUCGUCCACACGGUGAAGUUCACGACGAGACCUCCAGGUGGGUCGUCAGCGGAGGUCUCUGGGUGCACAAAAGGCCUCCAGAGAGGAAGAGAGGAGAGGAAGAGGAGCUGCAGAUGCUGUGUGGUUUCUGCAGAGACGUUCUCACAGGAGCCACACGGCGACAGUUACAAGCAUCUCCUCUGGUGGACCAUCGCUCCGUGAUCUUCAGUUAGACAUCAGAAGACUUUACCAACUAUGACAAAGCCACUCUGACAUUCUACUAGAAGCAAACGAGAACCAACCGAUCGGGCCGACCUUCACCCGUCUCUCCCCCGAGUCCAUUCCAGACUCUUUGCACGUCAGCCUGUCGCCGCCCUUCACCUCAGCUUCUGGUUCCACCAGAACUUCUACCACAUUCUCUCCUCGCCUGCCAUUUCUCCAACCUCCAACUCCGGUCGCUCCUUGAGAACCGGCGCCGCGACCACAGCCUCUCGUGAUGGAAACCCAGGAUACCUCGUCCGAAUCCUGAGCCGCUCGGGUCCCAAAGACCUUCAAGCUGCUCGUCACACCUCACAUAGUGGAGAUUUGUGGGGGUCGUUGUGCUCCAACGUAGCUUCUCACAAGCCAGCAGACCGAUAAAGUCCUCCACGCCACAUGUGACGCCCACCAAUGUGUUU
Molecule: long non-coding RNA, 740 nt
Organism: Gasterosteus aculeatus aculeatus (three-spined stickleback)
Lineage: Eukaryota; Metazoa; Chordata; Actinopteri; Perciformes; Gasterosteidae
Source: Ensembl